AGCAGCCGCGGUAAUUCCAGCUCCAAUAGCGUAUAUUAAAGUUGCUGCAGUUAAAAAGCUCGUAGUUGAAUUUCGGGACUAAUAUGUCGGUCGUGCCUCGGUACGUACUGGUUUAUUGGUUUCUCCUUUCUGAAGAACCAUGAUGUCAUUUAUUUGGUGUCGUGGGAAUCAGGACUGUUACUUUGAAAAAAUUAGAGUGUUUAAAGCAGGCUCACGCUUGAAUACAUUAGCAUGGAAUAAUGAAAUAGGACGUUUGAUUCUAUUUUGUUGGUUUCUAGGAUCGACGUAAUGAUUAAUAGGGAUAGUUGGGGGCAUUAGUAUUCAAUUGUCAGAGGUGAAAUUCUUGGAUUUAUUGAAGACUAACUACUGCGAAAGCAUUUGCCAAGGAUGUUUUCAUUAAUCAAGAACGAAAGUUAGGGGAUCGAAGACGAUCAGAUACCGUCGUAGUCUUAACCAUAAACUAUGCCGACUAGGGAUCGGAUGAUGUUAAUUUUUUAAUGACUCAUUCGGCGCCUUACG
RNAcentral lists this ribosomal RNA (519 nucleotides) under uncultured Glomeraceae. RNAcentral describes it as "SSU rRNA". It matches the Rfam family "Eukaryotic small subunit ribosomal RNA", at positions 569 to 1092 of the family's 1831-position model. Lineage: Eukaryota; Fungi; Glomeromycota; Glomeromycetes; Glomerales; Glomeraceae. The record is from RNAcentral.